This 427-nucleotide ribosomal RNA is filed under the name uncultured bacterium. Its description in RNAcentral is "bacterial SSU rRNA". It matches the Rfam family "Bacterial small subunit ribosomal RNA", at positions 355 to 774 of the family's 1533-position model. The record is from RNAcentral.
UGGGGAAUAUUGGACAAUGGGGGCAACCCUGAUCCAGCAAUGCCGCGUGUGUGAAGAAGGCCUUCGGGUUGUAAAGCUCUUUCGGCAGGAACGAAACGGUGAGGGCUAAUAUCUCUUACUAAUGACGGUACCUGAAGAAGAAGCACCGGCUAACUACGUGCCAGCAGCCGCGGUAAUACGGAGGAUGCAAGCGUUAUCCGGAUUCAUUGGGUUUAAAGGGUGCGCAGGCGGAUUGGUAAGUCAGGGGUGAAAUCCCACAGCUCAACUGUGGAACUGCCUUUGAUACUGUCAGUCUAGAGUAUAGUUGAAGUUGGCGGAAUGUGUCAUGUAGCGGUGAAAUGCUUAGAUAUGACACAGAACACCGAUCGCGAAGGCAGCUAGCUAAGCUAUAACUGACGCUCAUGCACGAAAGCGUGGGGAUCAAACA